Planctomycetes bacterium SM23_25 is the source of this 67-nucleotide non-coding RNA. The record is from Rfam. Lineage: Bacteria; Pseudomonadati; Planctomycetota.
GGUGGCGAAAACCCGGGAAAUCGGGCUCAUAUCCCGAAGGUCGCAGGUUCGAAUCCUGUCCCCGCUA